RNAcentral lists this long non-coding RNA (1070 nucleotides) under Coturnix japonica (Japanese quail). RNAcentral describes it as "lncRNA (ENSCJPG00005003479.1)". The record is from RNAcentral. Lineage: Eukaryota; Metazoa; Chordata; Aves; Galliformes; Phasianidae.
CUGUUUAAACACAAGAAACAUUUUGUUCCUCUUCACAUUCUUUUAAAAACAUAUGAACAUGAAACCAGAAGGAUGGCACAGAGCUGCAAGCAGGAGACCAACAGCCAUGCUGUACUGAAGAAGUUAACUGUGCAGCAGCUGGAAAUGAUCUUCAGAGCUGCUGAAAUCAGCACAUGAGCUUCUGCACGUGGCUCUUCUUUGCCUUUUCUCCAUGCUGGGUGAGAAGACCCCAGGGGACACAAGGAAUGCCCUGUAAGAUCCCAUUGCCUCCCAGCACAGCAUGCUGAGAGGAGAGCUGAUGUGAGUAAACCAGCUCAUAGACCCUGCAGCUUAAACAGCCUUAAUCAAACCCUGCAGCCCAGCUUAGCCCUUUUAAAAUAUUUUGGGGGUGAUGUCAGCACCUGAGCAGCCAACACACUUGUUGCUCUCCUCCCUCAGACUACUUCAGUUCCCACAGUGGGACGAGGCACCAGAUCGAGUGGGAGAUAGGCAGCAGCUGAGAGAGAAAUUGUAUCUGCAGUGCCCCAGAGCCCCAGAGGCAGAACCACUGGGUCCCAUUCACCUUCAUAAGGAGCAGUGAGCUGUGGUAUGCUGGAAUUAACCUCUGGCAGAAUAGAAGACGGAUGUGCACAUACAGGUAAAACAUCACUCCUAGUUUCUGUGCGCCUUUGGGUAUCUCUCAGUCUCCUUUUUUUAUUUGAGAACAUGAUCUUGUAAAGAAAGAGAGAAAAAAAUGUUACAUUCUUAUCAGCCUCUCUAAAUUUUACGCAUUUGAUAUUAUUUUUAUAGUGUUGAUUGAAUUUUCAGUAGCAUCACAGAUGAUCUAAUUCAAAUGAUAUUGGUUGAACUGCCUCCUACAAUUCUCUGACCAAAAGACAGUUCUUUUCUGUGAGGAAGGGGAGUCUCUAACUUCCAUCACUCAAAUGUCUAUGAGCUGUCGCUGCUAUACUUGAAAAAUAAUGGAAUAGUACUGUGGUGUAGAAGUUAAUUAUCAUUAUGCAUGAGGCUCAUAGACAGUGAUUAUACACAUCCAAAAUAAAUAUAAGAGAAUCACAAAAGAUACUGCUGAU